Molecule: transfer RNA, 86 nt
Filed under: Actinomycetota bacterium
Lineage: Bacteria; Bacillati; Actinomycetota
Description: Actinobacteria bacterium (freshwater metagenome) tRNA-Leu
Rfam family: tRNA
About the family: Transfer RNA (tRNA) molecules are approximately 80 nucleotides in length. Their secondary structure includes four short double-helical elements and three loops (D, anti-codon, and T loops).
Source: RNAcentral
GCCCGGGUGGCGGAACGGCAUACGCGGAUGGCUCAAAACCAUCUGUCCGAAAGGGCGUGCGGGUUCGAAUCCCGCCCCGGGCACCG